GACGAACGCUGGCGGCGUGCUUAACACAUGCAAGUCGAACGGACAGACAGAGAGCUUGCUCUCUUGAAGUUAGUGGCGAACGGGUGAGUAACGCGUAAUCAACCUGCCCUUCAGAGGGGGAUAACAACGGGAAACCGUUGCUAAUACCGCGUACGAUUCAUGAACGGCAUCGUUUAUGAAUGAAAGGUGGCCUCUAUGUAUAAGCUAUCGCUGAAGGAGGGGAUUGCGUCUGAUUAGCUAGUUGGAGGGGUAACGGCCCACCAAGGCAAUGACAAGGAGCCGGUCUGAGAGGAUGAACGGCCACAUUGGGACUGAGACACGGCCCAAACUCCUACGGGAGGCAGCAGUGGGGAAUCUUCCGCAAUGGACGAAAGUCUGACGGAGCAACGCCGCGUGAGUGAUGAAGGUCUUCGGAUUGUAAAGCUCUGUUAAUCGGGACGAAAGAGUUCUGCGUGAAUAAUGCAGAAAAGUGACGGUACCGGAAUAGAAAGCCACGGCUAACUACGUGCCAGCCGCCGCGGUAA
This 524-nucleotide ribosomal RNA is filed under the name uncultured bacterium. RNAcentral describes it as "partial 16S ribosomal RNA". It matches the Rfam family "Bacterial small subunit ribosomal RNA", at positions 28 to 523 of the family's 1533-position model. The record is from RNAcentral.